RNAcentral lists this ribosomal RNA (669 nucleotides) under Rhizobium sp. J211. Its description in RNAcentral is "bacterial SSU rRNA". It matches the Rfam family "Bacterial small subunit ribosomal RNA", at positions 50 to 765 of the family's 1533-position model. Lineage: Bacteria; Pseudomonadati; Pseudomonadota; Alphaproteobacteria; Hyphomicrobiales; Rhizobiaceae. The record is from RNAcentral.
AACACAUGCAAGUCGAACGCAUCGCAGAUGAGUGGCAGCACGGGUGAGUAACUGCUGUGGGAACAUACCCUUUCCUGCGGAAUAGCUCCGGGAAACUGGAAUUAAUACCGCAUACGCCCUACGGGGGAAAGAUUUAUCGGGGAAGGAUUGGCCCGCGUUGGAUUAGCUAGUUGGUGGGGUAAAGGCCUACCAAGGCGACGAUCCAUAGCUGGUCUGAGAGGAUGAUCAGCCACAUUGGGACUGAGACACGGCCCAAACUCCUACGGGAGGCAGCAGUGGGGAAUAUUGGACAAUGGGCGCAAGCCUGAUCCAGCCAUGCCGCGUGAGUGAUGAAGGCCUUAGGGUUGUAAAGCUCUUUCACCGAUGAAGAUAAUGACGGUAGUCGGAGAAGAAGCCCCGGCUAACUUCGUGCCAGCAGCCGCGGUAAUACGAAGGGGGCUAGCGUUGUUCGGAAUUACUGGGCGUAAAGCGCACGUAGGCGGAUAUUUAAGUCAGGGGUGAAAUCCCGCAGCUCAACUGCGGAACUGCCUUUGAUACUGGGUAUCUUGAGUAUGGAAGAGGUAAGUGGAAUUCCGAGUGUAGAGGUGAAAUUCGUAGAUAUUCGGAGGAACACCAGUGGCGAAGGCGGCUUACUGGUCCAUUACUGACGCUGAGGUGCGCUAAGUCGUG